Molecule: microRNA precursor, 202 nt
Filed under: Oryza nivara
Lineage: Eukaryota; Viridiplantae; Streptophyta; Magnoliopsida; Poales; Poaceae
Description: MIR812 microRNA precursor family
Rfam family: MIR812 microRNA precursor family
Source: Rfam by way of RNAcentral
AAUAAAUGAUGCCGUUGACUUUUUCUCACAUGAUUGACCAUUCGUCUUAUUCAAAAAAUUUACAUAAUUAUAAUUUAUUUUGUUAUGAGUUGUUUUCACUCAUAGUAUUUUAUGUGUGAUUUAUAUUUUAUACAUUUGCAUAAAAUUUUUGAAUAAAACGAAUGGUUAAACAUGUGAGAAAAAGUCAACGGCGUCAUCUAUU